GACGAACGCUGGCGGCGUGCUUAACACAUGCAAGUCGAACGGAAAGGCCCUGCUUUUGUUGGGUUCUCGAUUGGCGAACGGGUGAGUAACACGUGUGUAACCUUCCCUUUACUUUGUGAUAACUUCAUGUAACUGGGGCUCAUACCGGAUAGGAUCUCCUGCUUCAUGGUGUGUGUUGGUAAGUUUCGGCGGUUGGGUAUGGACUCGAGGCUUAUCCGCUUGUUGGUGGGGUAGUGGCUUACCAAGGCUUUGACGGGUAGCCGGCAUGAGAGGGUGACCGGGGAAAAUGGGACUGAGAUACGGAACAGAGUGCAACGGGAGGCAGGAGGGGGGAAGAUUGCAAAAUGGGAGGAAGGGUGAUGCAGAAAAGGGGGGUGCGGGAUGAAGGGCUUGGGGUUGAAAAAAGAAUUAGAAUGAGAAGAAGAGAGAGUGAAGGUAAUGGGUAAAGAAGCAACGGCUAACUACGUG
Molecule: ribosomal RNA, 468 nt
Filed under: uncultured bacterium
Lineage: Bacteria
Description: partial 16S ribosomal RNA
Rfam family: Bacterial small subunit ribosomal RNA
Source: RNAcentral